Molecule: long non-coding RNA, 383 nt
Filed under: Anas platyrhynchos platyrhynchos (common mallard)
Lineage: Eukaryota; Metazoa; Chordata; Aves; Anseriformes; Anatidae
Description: lncRNA (ENSAPLG00000022460.1)
Source: RNAcentral
GACUCGUCCUGCUUUUAUUCAUUACGUGAUCUUGCGUGGCAGCAGCCCGACGUCAGUGAGGAGCUGGAGGAGGAUGAGGCAGGAGCUGGAGGAGGAGCAGUGGGGGCGACGAAGGCUGACCCAGAGGAGCUCACGUUCCCAGCUGCUGCAGCUCCCUGUUGCCUUCUACUCAGCGCUGCCAGAGCCAGGAGUGCAUCCACAAACAGCUUCCAGGGACAGGAGAGAAAUACGGAGCCUGAGGCUUUCCUGGCUGAGCAUGCAGCAGCCUGUAAAUUACACAGUGCUCAAGUUGGGCAAAGUGCUGCACGCUGUGCGGUUCCCCAAGACUUUAAAAUAUUAAAUGCUAAGUCGCUCGUAUAUCUAUUUAUCCAAAGCAGUGUGAG